RNAcentral lists this ribosomal RNA (903 nucleotides) under uncultured Bacillota bacterium. Its description in RNAcentral is "bacterial SSU rRNA". It matches the Rfam family "Bacterial small subunit ribosomal RNA", at positions 1 to 917 of the family's 1533-position model. The record is from RNAcentral. Lineage: Bacteria; Bacillati; Bacillota.
UGGAUCCAGACUCUGAUUCUGGCUCAGGACGAACGCUGGCGGCGCGCCUAACACAUGCAAGUCGAACGAGAGAUGAGGAGCUUGCUCUUCAAAUCGAGUGGCGAACGGGUGAGUAACGCGUGAGGAACCUGCCUCAAAGAGGGGGACAACAGUUGGAAACGACUGCUAAUACCGCAUAAGCCCACGGCUCGGCAUCGAGCAGAGGGAAGAGGAGUAAUCCGCUUUGAGAUGGCCUCGCGUCCGAUUAGCUAGUUGGUGAGGUAAUGGCCCACCAAGGCGACGAUCGGUAGCCGGACUGAGAGGUUGAACGGCCACAUUGGGACUGAGACACGGCCCAGACUCCUACGGGAGGCAGCAGUGGGGAAUAUUGCACAAUGGGGGAAACCCUGAUGCAGCGACGCCGCGUGGAGGAAGAAGGUCUUCGGAUUGUAAACUCCUGCUGUUGAGGAAGAUAAUGACGGUACUCAACAAGGAAGUGACGGCUAACUACGUGCCAGCAGCCGCGGUAAAACGUAGGUCACAAGCGUUGUCCGGAAUCACUGGGUGUAAAGGGAGCGCAGGCGGGAGAACAAGUUGGAAGUGAAAUCCAUGGGCUCAACCCAUGAACUGCUUUCAAAACUGUUUUUCUUGAGUAGUGCAGAGGUAGGCGGAAUUCCCGGUGUAGCGGUGGAAUGCGUAGAUAUCGGGAGGAACACCAGUGGCGAAGGCGGCCUACUGGGCACCAACUGACGCUGAGGCUCGAAAGUGUGGGUAGCAAACAGGAUUAGAUACCCUGGUAGUCCACACCGUAAACGAUGAUUACUAGGUGUUGGAGGAUUGACCCCUUCAGUGCCGCAGUUAACACAAUAAGUAAUCCACCUGGGGAGUACGACCGCAAGGUUGCAACUCAAAGGAAUUGACGGA